RNAcentral lists this small nuclear RNA (102 nucleotides) under Schistosoma margrebowiei. Its description in RNAcentral is "U4 spliceosomal RNA". It matches the Rfam family "U4 spliceosomal RNA", at positions 1 to 104 of the family's 138-position model. Rfam says of the family: U4 small nuclear RNA (U4 snRNA) is a component of the major U2-dependent spliceosome. The structure of U4 snRNA from yeast and human has been reported. The record is from Rfam by way of RNAcentral. Lineage: Eukaryota; Metazoa; Platyhelminthes; Trematoda; Strigeidida; Schistosomatidae.
AACUUUGCGCAGUGGCGAUACCGUAGCCAGUGAAGUUUAUCUGAGGCGCGGUUAUUGCUAGUUGAAAACUACUCCAAAACUGAAACUGAAUAUAUAUUUAUA